This 1036-nucleotide long non-coding RNA is filed under the name Marmota monax (woodchuck). The record is from RNAcentral. Lineage: Eukaryota; Metazoa; Chordata; Mammalia; Rodentia; Sciuridae.
AGCAUAUUUAUUCUGAAAAUGUAUACUAAUGAGUAAAUACUUAUUUCCCUUGAUUUGUCUCUCUGGUAUGGCAAACUGAGUAUUGUCUGUUGAAUUUGAAUCCCUCAAGAGGACAUAAUGGGGAAAUUAAGCUUUAUAUGAUUUCUAAAGAAAUUCCACAGAAUAUAAAUCUGGACUAAAAAAAAAAAAAAAACUUUUAAGUGAAAAACAGUAUGAUAAACUACAAAAUGAAUGAUGCAUAUUUGUGGGCCUAUAAAUGGCUCGUCAUAAGACUUCACUUCUUGGCAUAAGUCUUUAGAUUCCUGCAGAGUUGGGUGUUGUAUUUUGGAAGUGGAUCACACUACAGUUUUGAAAAUGAGUGGUGUUAUUCUUGACUCCUUCAGAAUAUAUCCCUCUGACCUUUCAGCUGCCACCUCUUCUCUGCCUCUGUCAUAAGCCAAGCUUUGGUUAAGGAAAAUGGAUUAAUAGUUAAAACUAUUUUAUCCAUCUAGUUUCCACUCCCCAAACUAAUUUUAAACACUUGCUUCAAGGAUUUAUGUAAUCUUGGUAAAGCUAAUAAAAGCUCUAAAAUUUUAAUAAAAGUUUUAGGGAAAAUGCAACUUUUGGAUUCCUACUGUGUAAUAUUUAUAAAGUAGUUUGAAGGCAAAUACCCAACACAAGUUAAAAGCAAAAGCCAGUGAUUAUAAUAAUACAGUUAGUUCUGUAGCAGUCUUUAUUGACAAAUAGCUAAAAGAAGUCCCGCAUUACAUCACAGCUAUUUUUCUCCUUUUGCCAAAAUCAUUAGAUGGUGGGAAGUGCCUUUACAAAACUAUCAAAUUACUGUUGUUUCAUUUUUGGUAACUUUAGCAGCAGUUCUUUUAUUCUUCAUCUCAGCAAGAUUAUGAGGUUGAGAUACAAAGUGAAUCUAAUGCGUAACACCAUUUUCUAGGUGAGAGAUGACAGAGUUCCUCAAACUUGCCCUGGAUGCUUCUGAUCCAUCUGCAGGGUAGAGGUUAAUUUUCACUUUUGUGUCCAUUAGGAUUCCAAAUGAAUUCUG